AUAGCCAAGAACAAAUAAAGAGGGCAGAAGUCCAGGAAUGUAUUUCACAUAGCCAACCAAAAAAACAUGAAGGCCAAAAACAAAGCAAAACCAGUUACCACUAAUCGUUACCACUAAUUUUAAGAAGAUAAACAUUAUAAAUGACAAAAAAAUUAAGAGUAAAUAAAGCUUUUGUAAAUAUACAAAAGGAACCUGCACACUUCUCAAAAGUCCUUUUUAAAAAAAUCUCUGCAGGAAGAACUAAUUCCUCAGUGCAUCAUUAAAGUGAACCAGUUAAUGUUGAUGAAGCUACAAAUAAUGGCUCAGUUGUA
Molecule: long non-coding RNA, 311 nt
Filed under: Homo sapiens (human)
Lineage: Eukaryota; Metazoa; Chordata; Mammalia; Primates; Hominidae
Description: non-protein coding lnc-AMD1-2:1
Source: RNAcentral